GUCGAGCGGCAGCGGGAAAGUAGCUUGCUACUUUUGCCGGCGAGCGGCGGACGGGUGAGUAAUGCCUGGGGAUCUGCCCAGUCGAGGGGGAUAACUMCUGGAAACGGUAGCUAAUACCGCAUACGCCCUACGGGGGAAAGCAGGGGACCUUCGGGCCUUGCGCGAUUGGAUGAACCCAGGUGGGAUUAGCUAGUUGGUGAGGUAAUGGCUCACCAAGGCGACGAUCCCUAGCUGGUCUGAGAGGAUGAUCAGCCACACUGGAACUGAGACACGGUCCAGACUCCUACGGGAGGCAGCAGUGGGGAAUAUUGCACAAUGGGGGAAACCCUGAUGCAGCCAUGCCGCGUGUGUGAAGAAGGCCUUCGGGUUGUAAAGCACUUUCAGCGAGGAGGAAAGGUUGGUAGCUAAUAACUGCCAGCUGUGACGUUACUCGCAGAAGAAGCACCGGCUAACUCCGUGCCAGCAGCCGCGGUAAURCGGAGGGUGCAAGCGUUAAUCGGAAUUACUGGGCGUAAAGCGCACGCAGGCGGUUGGAUAAGUUAGAUGUGAAAGCCCCGGGCUCAACCUGGGAAUUGCAUUUAAAACUGUCCAGCUAGAGUCUUGUAGAG
RNAcentral lists this ribosomal RNA (608 nucleotides) under Aeromonas veronii. RNAcentral describes it as "bacterial SSU rRNA". Lineage: Bacteria; Pseudomonadati; Pseudomonadota; Gammaproteobacteria; Aeromonadales; Aeromonadaceae. The record is from RNAcentral.